ACGCACGCUGGCGGCGUGCCUAAUCCAUGCAAGUUGAGCGCUGAAGGUUGGUACUUGUACCAACUGGAUGAGCAGCGAACGGGUGAGUAACGCGUGGGGAAUCUGCCUUUGAGCGGGGGACAACAUUUGGAAACGAAUGCUAAUACCGCUUAAAAACUUUAAACACAAGUUUUAAGUUUGAAAGAUGCAAUUGCAUCACUCAAAGAUGAUCCCGCGUUGUAUUAGCUAGUUGGUGAGGUAAAGGCUCACCAAGGCGAUGAUACAUAGCCGACCUGAGAGGGUGAUCGGCCACAUUGGGACUGAGACACGGCCCAAACUCCUACGGGAGGCAGCAGUAGGGAAUCUUCGGCAAUGGACGAAAGUCUGACCGAGCAACGCCGCGUGAGUGAAGAAGGUUUUCGGAUCGUAAAACUCUGUUGGUAGAGAAGAACGUUGGUGAGAGUGGAAAGCUCAUCAAGUGACGGUAACUACCCAGAAAGGGACGGCUAACUACGG
RNAcentral lists this ribosomal RNA (495 nucleotides) under uncultured bacterium. Its description in RNAcentral is "partial 16S ribosomal RNA". It matches the Rfam family "Bacterial small subunit ribosomal RNA", at positions 29 to 506 of the family's 1533-position model. The record is from RNAcentral.